Molecule: ribosomal RNA, 544 nt
Filed under: uncultured bacterium
Lineage: Bacteria
Description: partial 16S ribosomal RNA
Rfam family: Bacterial small subunit ribosomal RNA
Source: RNAcentral
UGGGGAAUUUUGGACAAUGGGCGAAAGCCUGAUCCAGCAAUGCCGCGUGUGUGAAGAAGGCCUUCGGGUUGUAAAGCACUUUUGUCCGGAAAGAAAUCCUCUGGGUUAAUACCUCGGGGGGAUGACGGUACCGGAAGAAUAAGCACCGGCUAACUACGUGCCAGCAGCCGCGGUAAUACGUAGGGUGCAAGCGUUAAUCGGAAUUACUGGGCGUAAAGCGUGCGCAGGCGGUUUUGUAAGACGGAUGUGAAAUCCCCGGGCUUAACCUGGGAACUGCAUUCGUGACCGCAAGGCUAGAGUAUGGCAGAGGGGGGUAGAAUUCCACGUGUAGCAGGUGAAAUGCGUAGAGAUGUGGAGGAAUACCGAUGGCGAAGGCAGCCCCCUGGGCCAAUACUGACGCUCAUGCACGAAAGCGUGGGGAGCAAACAGGAUUAGAUACCCUGGUAGUCCACGCCCUGAAACGAUGUCAACUAGUUGUUGGGGNUUCAUUUCCUUAGUACGUAGCUAACCGUGAAGUUGACCGCCUGGGGAGUACGGUCGCAAG